GAUGAACGCUGGCGGCGUGCUUAACACAUGCAAGUCGAACGGGAUCCAAGGGGUGCUUGCACUUUUUGGUGAGAGUGGCGAACGGGUGAGUAACACGUGAGUAACCUGUCCUUUUCUUUGGGAUAAGCAUUCGAAAGGGUGUUUAAUACCUUAUGUUCUGUCUGCCUCGCAUGGGGUGGGUGGUAAAGGCUUUGGCCGGGUUUGGGUGGGCUCGCGGUCUAUCGGGUUGGUGGUGGGGUGAUGGCUGAUCAAGGCUUUGACGGGUAGCGGGCGUGAGAGGGCGUUCGGUCACAGCGGGCCUGAGAGGCGCCGCAGACUCGCGCGGGCGGCAGCAGUGGGCGAUAGUGCAGAAUGGGCGAAAGCCUGAUGAAGCGAGGCCGCGUGGCGGCUGAAGGCGUAUGGCGUGUAAACUUCUUUUGCCCUGAACAAGGCAUGACAGUGGGUGUGUUGCGUGUAGGGGUGGAUUAGCGCCGGCUAACUACGUG
RNAcentral lists this ribosomal RNA (485 nucleotides) under uncultured bacterium. RNAcentral's name for it is "partial 16S ribosomal RNA". It matches the Rfam family "Bacterial small subunit ribosomal RNA", at positions 28 to 507 of the family's 1533-position model. The record is from RNAcentral.